ACCUGGACCAUCUGUCAGACAAAUCGUUGGAGCAAAUCCUCAUUAUUUUUUUUUUUUUACCUUUUUGUGGAUUUAACAUUGCCCUGUGGAGAACUGGGACCAACAGAGACACUUACCAGGAGGACUUGAGUUGGAUGCGCGGUACCGUGGUCAGUGACACCUUCUGAGCCUGCUUUCAGGAGAUCAUACAACACAGCUUGAUGUACUGCUUGUAGUAAGUAAAAAAGGCAGGACCCCCUUGCAUUCCUCCCUUCUGAAGGACAUCACAGGCCCCCUGCUGGACCUCCUGCAGUUUGCUUUUGGGGAAAGCAGGUCGGUAGAAGAUACGGUCAACAUGGGACUCAAUGCUCGGAUCCUGUUCGUAGACUUCAGCUUACAGUGCUGGCCUCCACCUGUUAGUGGAUCACCAACUUCCCGACGGACAGGAGGCAUCAAGUAAGGCUGGAGAACAUCACAUCCAGCAGCCACACAAUCAGCACCUACCUUGUUUACUUCUUAAAGUUUUGUAAUCAAUCAAAUAUCAAGCAGCUAAAAUAUGCCAAACAUGGAUAAGUGUGAGGAAAGUGUUUUGCAUUUUUCCCGUCAUCCAUUGUCAUGGAUUUGAAUUAGUGUAAUUUUGUAUUGUUUUGUAUAAUAUCCACAAA
Nerophis lumbriciformis (worm pipefish) is the source of this 644-nucleotide long non-coding RNA. RefSeq lists it as uncharacterized. Lineage: Eukaryota; Metazoa; Chordata; Actinopteri; Syngnathiformes; Syngnathidae. The record is from RefSeq and is a predicted model, not a curated record.